GAGGAAGGAAUAAACAGUCACAAAACCUGGAAGCUAAAAGAUUCAUAAAUUUGACUACAUAAAAACUCUAAUUUCACAUGGUGAAAAUACUGUAAACAAGAUAAAAUACAAAUAACAAUCUAGGGAUAUAUUUAUGAUCCUAUUGAAGGCAAAAUUAAAAUUGAAUUAAUUACACUUCAUUUUCUUUGUUUUUUCCCUCCCUCCCUCUCUACCUUCUUUCCUUCCUUCCUUUUUCUUUCCUUUUUUGCUAUUCAACAACAUUGUAAAUACAUCAAUUUACUCAAGUAAUUUAUAUGCUUAAUGUCAUGCUAAUCCUUCCUCCCAAAAAAUUGAAAGUUAAAAAAAUUACUUUGGGUAUUAAAAAAUUAUUCUAAAGUUCACCAGAAGAAUAAAGAUGGAAAAAUAGAUUUACAAUAUCCAGAAAUUGGCUAAUAAAUAAAAUUAUGCUUUCUCCUGAAUGUCAAUAAUACAAAAUCAAAUUCCAUGUGAAUUAGUUAAAUCAUUACAAAAAUAAAAGUUUAGAGAAAAAACUAUUUUAUUUUACUACUUUAUGAAUGGAAAAGUACUUCUAAGAAUGGAAGUGGUGUCGGAAAUCACAAAGGG
RNAcentral lists this long non-coding RNA (603 nucleotides) under Homo sapiens (human). RNAcentral's name for it is "non-protein coding lnc-WRNIP1-24:1". Lineage: Eukaryota; Metazoa; Chordata; Mammalia; Primates; Hominidae. The record is from RNAcentral.